Molecule: transfer RNA, 72 nt
Filed under: Thiohalorhabdus denitrificans
Lineage: Bacteria; Pseudomonadati; Pseudomonadota; Gammaproteobacteria; Thiohalorhabdales; Thiohalorhabdaceae
Also listed under: 1 other name
Rfam family: tRNA
About the family: Transfer RNA (tRNA) molecules are approximately 80 nucleotides in length. Their secondary structure includes four short double-helical elements and three loops (D, anti-codon, and T loops).
Source: Rfam by way of RNAcentral
AGGCGCGUAGCUCAGCGGGAGAGCGCUACCUUGACACGGUAGAGGUCGGCGGUUCGAAACCGCCCGCGCCUA